CCGCCAUUAGCUCAGGAGGAUAGAGCGGUCAUGUCUGUGGAUAUGAGGGUGCAGGGUUCAAGUCCCUGAUGGCGGUCCA
Molecule: transfer RNA, 79 nt
Filed under: Yersinia bercovieri
Lineage: Bacteria; Pseudomonadati; Pseudomonadota; Gammaproteobacteria; Enterobacterales; Yersiniaceae
Also listed under: 3 other names
Description: tRNA-???(tgtg)
Source: RNAcentral